RNAcentral lists this ribosomal RNA (253 nucleotides) under uncultured bacterium. Its description in RNAcentral is "partial 16S ribosomal RNA". It matches the Rfam family "Bacterial small subunit ribosomal RNA", at positions 524 to 776 of the family's 1533-position model. The record is from RNAcentral.
UACGAAGGGUGCAAGCGUUAUCCGGAUUCACUGGGUUUAAAGGGUGCGUAGGCGGGCAGGUAAGUCCGUGGUGAAAUCUCUGAGCUUAACUCAGAAACUGCCAUGGAUACUAUUUGUCUUGAAUAUUGUGGAGGUAAGCGGAAUAUGUCAUGUAGCAGUGAAAUGCUUAGAUAUGACAUAGAACACCAAUUGCGAAGGCAGCUUACUACACAGUAAUUGACGCUGAGGCACGAAAGCGUGGGGAUCAAACAGG